This 593-nucleotide ribosomal RNA is filed under the name fungal sp. 51643. RNAcentral describes it as "eukaryotic LSU rRNA". The stretch from base 231 to 383 matches the Rfam family "5.8S ribosomal RNA". RNAcentral also lists the same sequence under 5 other names. The record is from RNAcentral. Lineage: Eukaryota; Fungi.
GGAAGUAAAAGUCGUAACAAGGUUUCCGUAGGUGAACCUGCGGAAGGAUCAUUACCGAGUGAGGGCCCUCUGGGUCCAACCUCCCACCCGUGUUUAUUUUACCUUGUUGCUUCGGCGGGCCCGCCUUAACUGGCCGCCGGGGGGCUUACGCCCCCGGGCCCGCGCCCGCCGAAGACACCCUCGAACUCUGUCUGAAGAUUGUAGUCUGAGUGAAAAUAUAAAUUAUUUAAAACUUUCAACAACGGAUCUCUUGGUUCCGGCAUCGAUGAAGAACGCAGCGAAAUGCGAUACGUAAUGUGAAUUGCAAAUUCAGUGAAUCAUCGAGUCUUUGAACGCACAUUGCGCCCCCUGGUAUUCCGGGGGGCAUGCCUGUCCGAGCGUCAUUUCUGCCCUCAAGCACGGCUUGUGUGUUGGGCCCCGUCCUCCGAUCCCGGGGGACGGGCCCGAAAGGCAGCGGCGGCACCGCGUCCGGUCCUCGAGCGUAUGGGGCUUUGUCACCCGCUCUGUAGGCCCGGCCGGCGCUUGCCGAUCAACCCAAAUUUUUAUCCAGGUUGACCUCGGAUCAGGUAGGGAUACCCGCUGAACUUAAGCAU